Molecule: ribosomal RNA, 1113 nt
Filed under: Triticum aestivum (bread wheat)
Lineage: Eukaryota; Viridiplantae; Streptophyta; Magnoliopsida; Poales; Poaceae
Description: partial small subunit ribosomal RNA
Source: RNAcentral
AUGGACCCGUCGCUCAAGCGGCUUCCCGACUCGGAUCCCGCCCCACAGUCCCUGCACCGCUUCUACGACGGCUAUCAUCUCGGCCUCCUCCUGCGGCCUCGUCCCCAGUCCCAGCCCCAACUCCAAGGCGGGGGUUUUCUGCGCCCACCUUGCAAUUACCGCGCCCAGGAGGAGGAGCAUGUCUCCUACGUCGUCGCUGGGCUCUUCCUCAAACACAAACCAUCAGCAACCGGUCACCUGUUCGACCUUUACCUCUACAGCUCCGAUACCAACAAGUGGUCCAUCCAGGACCAGGAGCCCCCCUUAUUGCUGCUCCAACAUCAGCAACAGCGAGCCGGCGGCGGCGGCUUUGAUUUUGUCACAAACAAGGCCAUCUCCAUCGGCGGAGAACACGGUGGUUCCACCACCAUGUGCUUCGUCGACCUGCAGCAGGGCAUCCUUCAAUGCAACGUGCUCGACAGCAUCCCAGGGCUCCGCUACUGUCCGAUGCCGCCGCCCCUUGAACCCAACCCUGUCACCAUGGUCCAGUCUUACCCACAGGCUUUCCGUGAUGUAGCCAUCAUCGACGGUGGCCGCCGCAUCAAGUGCGCCCAGCUGCAUCUGGAUGUCACCUUAAACUGCGAGGAUAGCAACUGGGUGGACUGGACUGUUCCCUCCUACCAUGGCUGGAAGGCAGCCACAUGGAGCAUGGACGCUGCCUAUCCUUCUUCUGGCUGGCGCCAGGACAGCGAGGUAGUUCAUGCGUCUGAGAUUGGCAGCACCAUAGACCCGCCGCUUCUCCAAUUGCCGCCCUUGCAUGACGACGGCAAAGACGUGGUCUACUUCAUGACCAAGGUCCAUUCUUAUCAUAAGGCCGCAUUGGUGAUUGCGGUUGACAUGUCCAACAAGACAGCACAACAAGUCAUACAGUUCCUCCCAGGGAAAUUUAUGGAGCGCGCCUUUGUACACAGCAGGAUCUCCAAAUUUCUCAGUAUGGCUCCAGGCUCCAGCUCCAGGCUCGGGCACAAGAGGAAACAUGAAACGACCAGGGAUGAUGACACUAAUGGCAUGUUCGUACUGAUGAGUGAUACUGUUAUGAUGGAACCAAACAAUCCCCAUCCAGCUGAAACAUAA